This 619-nucleotide long non-coding RNA is filed under the name Pan troglodytes (chimpanzee). Its description in RNAcentral is "long non-coding RNA NONPTRT013046". The record is from RNAcentral. Lineage: Eukaryota; Metazoa; Chordata; Mammalia; Primates; Hominidae.
CAAGGUUUAGGGCCCAAGGCUGCAGGAAGACAUGGUGAAAUGUUUAGCCAGAAUAACUGAAAACAAUGUCAUUAAGAAUAAAAAGUAAAAAUUGCGAUCAAGAAAAAAAGCAGAAACCAGACCUAGAGAAGCAGUUGCAAACCUCAGGUUUUAGAAGAGAUACAUGUCUGAAGAAAUAAGAUGAUUAACAGCAUUCAAGGUGGUGGCUACACAUCACAUCAGCCUGGAUUCUCAAGUAGGAAGAUAUGCAACAGAGCAUCCAGCUGACCUUCACUGGAUAUGUUCCCUCUAAAGACCCCAGGCAUGCAGCAAUAUGGUGGGGAUGCAUACUACAGCUGAGCUCUGGACAGGAGGUUUUCCAUUUUAUAAGAAACUCAAACCACCAAGAAAACCAGCUUAUCCCACAAAAUAUUUUUACACUUCUCUAGAACUCAGUAAGAGGCCCUCAAUGGAUUGGAUGAUGCCUGUCCACGGUCCACAUCGGUGAGGGUGAUUGUCUUUACUCAGCCUAUUGAUUCAAACACUAAUCUCUUCUGGAAACACUCUCAGACUCACCCAGAAGUAAUGUUUUGCCAGCCAUCGGAGCAUCCUCUGGCUUAGGCAAGUUAACACAUAGAAU